AGACCCGAAACCCGGUGAUCUAGCCAUGGGCAGGUUGAAGGUUGGGUAACACUAACUGGAGGACCGAACCGACUAAUGUUGAAAAAUUAGCGGAUGACCUGUGGCUGGGGGUGAAAGGCCAAUCAAACCGGGAGAUAGCUGGUUCUCCCCGAAAGCUAUUUAGGUAGCGCCUCGUGAAUUCAUCUCCGGGGGUAGAGCACUGUUUCGGCUAGGGGGCCAUCCCGGCUUACCAACCCGAUGCAAACUGCGAAUACCGGAGAAUGUUAUCACGGGAGACACACGGCGGGUGCUAACGUCCGUCGUGAAGAGGGAAACAACCCAGACCGCCAGCUAAGGUCCCAAAGUCAUGGUUAAGUGGGAAACGAUGUGGGAAGGCCCAGACAGCCAGGAUGUUGGCUUAGAAGCAGCCAUCAUUUAAAGAAAGCGUAAUAGCUCACUGGUCGAGUCGGCCUGCGCGGAAGAUGUAACGGGGCUAAACCAUGCACCGAAGCUGCGGCAGCGACACUGUGUGUUGUUGGGUAGGGGAGCGUUCUGUAAGCCUGUGAAGGUGUGUCGUGAGGCAUGCUGGAGGUAUCAGAAGUGCGAAUGCUGACAUAAGUAACGAUAAAGCGGGUGAAAAGCCCGCUCGCCGGAAGACCAAGGGUUCCUGUCCAACGUUAAUCGGGGCAGGGUGAGUCGACCCCUAAGGCGAGGCCGAAAGGCGUAGUCGAUGGGAAACGGGUUAAUAUUCCCGUACUUGGUGUUACUGCGAAGGGGGGACGGAGAAGGCUAUGUUGGCCGGGCGACGGUUGUCCCGGUUUAAGCGUGUAGGUGUGUGUUCCAGGUAAAUCCGGUUCACUUUAACACUGAGGCGUGACGACGAGGCACUACGGUGCUGAAGCAACAAAUGCCCUGCUUCCAGGAAAAGCCUCUAAGCAUCAGGUAACAUCAAAUCGUACCCCAAACCGACACAGGUGGUCAGGUAGAGAAUACCAAGGCGCUUGAGAGAACUCGGGUGAAGGAACUAGGCAAAAUGGUGCCGUAACUUCGGGAGAAGGCACGCUGACACGUAGGUGAAGUGAUUUACUCAUGGAGCUGAAGUCAGUCGAAGAUACCAGCUGGCUGCAACUGUUUAUUAAAAACACAGCACUGUGCAAACAUGAAAGUGGACGUAUACGGUGUGACGCCUGCCCGGUGCCGGAAGGUUAAUUGAUGGGGUCAGCGCAAGCGAAGCUCCUGAUCGAAGCCCCGGUAAACGGCGGCCGUAACUAUAACGGUCCUAAGGUAGCGAAAUUCCUUGUCGGGUAAGUUCCGACCUGCACGAAUGGCGUAAUGAUGGCCAGGCUGUCUCCACCCGAGACUCAGUGAAAUUGAACUCGCUGUGAAGAUGCAGUGUACCCGCGGCAAGACGGAAAGACCCCGUGAACCUUUACUAUAGCUUGACACUGAACAUUGAGCCUUGAUGUGUAG
RNAcentral lists this ribosomal RNA (1449 nucleotides) under Salmonella enterica subsp. enterica serovar Stanley. Its description in RNAcentral is "partial 23S ribosomal RNA". It matches the Rfam family "Bacterial large subunit ribosomal RNA", at positions 711 to 2141 of the family's 2925-position model. The record is from RNAcentral. Lineage: Bacteria; Pseudomonadati; Pseudomonadota; Gammaproteobacteria; Enterobacterales; Enterobacteriaceae.